CAGGUCUUGACAUCUUGCGCCAACCCUAGAGAUAGGGCGUUUCCUUCGGGAACGCAAUGACAGGUGGUGCAUGGUCGUCGUCAGCUCGUGUCGUGAGAUGUUGGGUUAAGUCCCGCAACGAGCGCAACCCUUGUUACUAGUUGCCAGCAUUAAGUUGGGCACUCUAGUGAGACUGCCGGUGACAAACCGGAGGAAGGUGGGGACGACGUCAGAUCAUCAUGCCCCUUAUGACCUGGGCUACACACGUGCUACAAUGGACGGUACAACGAGUCGCGAACUCGCGAGGGCAAGCAAAUCUCUUAAAACCGUUCUCAGUUCGGACUGCAGGCUGCAACUCGCCUGCACGAAGUCGGAAUCGCUAGUAAUCGCGGAUCAGCAUGCCGCGGUGAAUACGUUCCCGGGCCUUGUACACACCGCCCGUCACACCAUGAGAGUUUGUAACACCCAAAGUCGGUGGGGUAACCUUUUAGGAGCCAGCCGCCUAAGGUGGGACAGAUGAUUAGGGUG
Molecule: ribosomal RNA, 507 nt
Filed under: uncultured bacterium
Lineage: Bacteria
Description: bacterial SSU rRNA
Rfam family: Bacterial small subunit ribosomal RNA
Source: RNAcentral